CCUACGGGCGGCUGCAGUGGGGAAUAUUGGACAAUGGGGGGAACCCUGAUCCAGCCAUGCCGCGUGUGUGAAGAAGGCCCUCGGGUUGUAAAGCACUUUCAGUGAGGAAGAACGCCUGGUGGUUAAUACCCAUCAGGAAAGACAUCACUCACAGAAGAAGCACCGGCUAACUCCGUGCCAGCAGCCGCGGUAAUACGGAGGGUGCGAGCGUUAAUCGGAAUUACUGGGCGUAAAGCGCGCGUAGGUGGCUUGAUAAGCCGGUUGUGUAAGCCCCGGGCUCAACCUGGGAACGGCAUCCGGAACUGUCAAGCUAGAGUGCAGGAGAGGAAGGUAGAAUUCCCGGUGUAGCGGUGAAAUGCGUAGAGAUCGGGAGGAAUACCAGUGGCGAAGGCGGCCUUCUGGACUGACACUGACACUGAGGUGCGAAAGCGUGGGUAGCAAACAGGAUUAGAUACCCCUGUAGUC
This 465-nucleotide ribosomal RNA is filed under the name Vreelandella stevensii. Its description in RNAcentral is "partial 16S ribosomal RNA". It matches the Rfam family "Bacterial small subunit ribosomal RNA", at positions 338 to 795 of the family's 1533-position model. Lineage: Bacteria; Pseudomonadati; Pseudomonadota; Gammaproteobacteria; Oceanospirillales; Halomonadaceae. The record is from RNAcentral.